CACGUAGGGUGCGAGCGUUGUCCGGAAUUAUUGGGCGUAAAGAGCUCGUAGGCGGUGUGUCGCGUCGGCCGUGAAAACCUGCAGCUUAACUGUGGGCGUGCGGUCGAUACGGGCAUCACUGGAGUUCGGCAGGGGGAGACUGGAAUUCCUGGUGUAGCGGUGAAAUGCGCAGAUAUCAGGAGGAACACCGGUGGCGAAGGCGGGUCUCUGGGCCGGUACCGACGCUGAGGAGCGAAAGCGUGGGGAGC
RNAcentral lists this ribosomal RNA (248 nucleotides) under uncultured bacterium. RNAcentral's name for it is "partial 16S ribosomal RNA". It matches the Rfam family "Bacterial small subunit ribosomal RNA", at positions 524 to 769 of the family's 1533-position model. The record is from RNAcentral.